UACGAAGGGGGCUAGCGUUGUUCGGAAUUACUGGGCGUAAAGCGCACGUAGGCGGGUUGUUAAGUCAGGGGUGAAAUCCCGGAGCUCAACUCCGGAACUGCCUUUGAUACUGAGGAUCUUGAGUUCGGGAGAGGUGAGUGGAACUGCGAGUGUAGAGGUGAAAUUCGUAGAUAUUCGCAAGAACACCAGUGGCGAAGGCGGCUCACUGGCCCGAUACUGACGCUGAGGCACGAAAGCGUGGGGAGCAAACAGG
This 253-nucleotide ribosomal RNA is filed under the name uncultured bacterium. RNAcentral describes it as "partial 16S ribosomal RNA". It matches the Rfam family "Bacterial small subunit ribosomal RNA", at positions 524 to 776 of the family's 1533-position model. The record is from RNAcentral.